AUUUUUUCCAUAAAAAUCCCAUUUUUUCCCCCAAAAAAAUCCCAUUUUUCCCUCUAAAAAUCCUAUUUUCCCCCCAAAAAAUCCCAUUUUUUCUCCUAAAAACCCCAUUUUUUCUCCUAAAAAUCCCAUUUUUUCUCCCAAAUUUUUCCCAAAAUCCCAUUUUAUCCCCAAAAAAUCCCAUUUUUAUCCCAAAAAUCCCAUUUUUUUCUCCCAAAUCUCAUUUUUCCCUCUAAAAACCCCAUUUUUUCUCCUAAAAAUCCCAUUUUUCCCUCUAAAAAUCCCAUUUUUUUCCAUAAAAACCCCAUUUUUUCUCCUAAAANNNNNNNNNNNNNNNNNNNNGUUGGGGAUUUCUACCCCAAAAAUUGGGGAAAAAUUGGGGGAAAAUUGGGGAAAAAUUGGGGAAAAUUGGGGAAAAAUUGGGGGAAAUUGGGGAAAAGUUGGGAAUUUCACCCCAAAAAUUGGGGAAAAAUUGGGGGAAAAUUGGGGGGAAAUUGGGGAAAAGUUGGGGAUUUCUACCCCAAAAAUUGGGGAAAAAUUGGGGAAAAAUUGGGGAAAAAUUGGGGAAAAAUUGGGGAAAAAUUGGGGAAAAAUUGGGGGAAAAUUGGAGGAAAAUUGGGAAUUUCACCUCAAAAAUUGGGGGAAAAUUGGGGAAAAAUUGGGAAUUUCACCCCAAAAAUUGGGGAAAAAUUGGGGGAAAAUUGGGGGGAAAUUGGGGAAAAGUUGGGGAUUUCUACCCCAAAAAUUGGGGAAAAAUCGGGGAAAAAUUGGGGAUUUCACCUCAAAAAUUGGGGGAAAAUUGGGGGAAAAUUGGGGAAAAUUGGGGAAAAAUUGGGGAUUUCUACCCCAAAAAUUGGGGAAAAAUCGGGGAAAAAUUGGGGAUUUCUACCCCAAAAAUUGGGGGAAAAUUGGGGAAAAUUUGGGGGAAAAUUGGGAAUUUCUACCCCAAAAAUUGGGGGAAAAUUGGGGGAAAAUUGGGGAUUUCUACCCCAAAAAUUGGGGAAAAAUCGGGGAAAAAUUGGGGAUUUCUACCCCAAAAAUUGGGGGAAAAUUGGGGGGAAAUUGAGGAAAAAUUGGGGAAAAAUUGAGGAAAAGUUGGGGAUUUCUACCCCAAAAAUUGGGGAAAAAUUGGGGGGAAAUUGGGGAAAAUUGGGGAUUUCUACCCCAAAAAUUGGGGGAAAAUUGGGGGAAAAUUGGGGAAAAAUUGGGGAAAAGUUGGGGGGAAAUUGGGGAAAAGUUGGGGAUUUCUACCCCAAAAAUUGGGGGAAAAUUGGGGGAAAUUGGGGAAAAAUUGGGGGAAAUUGGGGAAAAGUUGGGAAUUUCUACCCCAAAAAUUGGGGAAAAAUCAGGGAAAAAUUGGGGAUUUCACCUCAAAAAUUGGGGGAAAAUUGGGGGAAAUUGGGGAAAAAUUGGGGAAAAAUUGGGGAAAAAUUGGGGGAAAAUUGGAGGAAAAUUGGGGAAAAAUUGGGGGGAAAUUGGGGAAAAAUUGGGAAUUUCCACCCCAAAAAAUUGGGAAUUUGGGAAUUCAGGAUUUGGAGAAUUCAGGAAUUCGGGGAAAUUUGGGAAUUUGGGAUUUGGGGAAUUCAGGAUUUCAGGAAUUGGGAAUUCGGGAAAUUCGGGAUUUGGGAAUUUUGGGAGCUCAGGAAUUCAGAAAUUCAGGAUUUGGGGAAUUUUGGGAUUUCAGGAAUUGGGAAUUCGGGAUUUCAGGAAUUGGGAGUUCAGGGAUUCGGGAUUUGGGGAAUUUUGGGAAUUUCAGGAAUUGGGAUUUCAGGAAUUUGGGAUUUGGGGAAUUUGGGAUUUCAGGAAUUGGGAAUUCGGGAAAUUCGGGAUUUGGGGAAUUUGGGAUUUCAGGAAUUGGGAAUUCGGGAAAUUCAGGAAUUGGGAGUUCAGGAAUUCGGGAAUUUGGGAUUUGGGGAAUUCAGGAAUUCGGGGAAAUUUGGGGAAUUUGGGAUUUGGGGAAUUUGGGAUUUCAGGAAUUGGGAUUUGGGGAUUUCAGGAUUUGGGAAUUUUGGGAAAUUUGGGAAUUCCGGGAAUUUCGGGGUCCCCACCGUGGCUUUGCCGAGCUCGGCUCCCCCCCAGUUCCGGCCGCGCCUCCGGGAGNNNNNNNNNNNNNNNNNNNNGGAGUGACUGGGAAUGAACUGGGAGUGAACUGGGAAUGGACUGGGAGCACUGGGAGUGAACUGGGAAUGGACUGGGAGGGACUGGGAAUGGACUGGGAAUGAACUGGGAAUGGACUGGGAAUGGACUGGGAAUGAACUGGGAAUGGACUGGGAAUGGACUGGGAAUGGACUGGGAAUGGACUGGGAGUGACUGGGAAUGAACUGGGAGUGAACUGGGAAUGGACUGGGAGCACUGGGAGUGACUGGGAAUGGACUGGGAGUGAACUGGGAAUGGACUGGGAGCACUGGGAAUGGACUGGGAAUGGACUGGGAAUGGACUGGGAAUGAACUGGGAGCACUGGGAUUGGGGCUGGGAUCCGGGAACCCGUCCUGGAACGGGGAAAAACAAACUGGGAGUGACUGGGAAUGGACUGGGAGCACUGGGAUUGGGGCUGGGAUCCGGGAACCCGUCCUGGAACGGGGAGAAACAAACUGGGAAUGAACUGGGAGGGACUGGGAGCACUGGGAUUGGGGCUGGGAUCCGGGAACCCGUCCUGGAACGGGGAAACAAACUGUGAAUGAACUGGGAAUGGACUGGGAAUGGACUGGGAAUGGACUGGGAGUGAACUGGGAGCACUGGGGUUGGGGCUGGGAUCCGGGAAGCCGUCCUGGAACGGGAGAAACAAACUGGGAAUGAACUGGGAAUGGACUGGGAGCACUGGGAUUGGGGCUGGGAUCCGGGAACCCGUCCUGGAACGGGAGAAACAAACUGGGAGUGAACUGGGAAUGGACUGGGAAUGAACUGGGAGCACUGGGAGUGACUGGGAUUGAACUGGGAGCACUGGGAUUGGGGCUGGGAUCCGGGAACCCGUCCUGGAACGGGGAAAACAAACUGCGAGUGAACUGGGAAUGGACUGGGAGCACUGGGAAUGAACUGGGAAUGGACUGGGAGUGACUGGGAAUGGACUGGGAGCACUGGGAUUGGGGCUGGGAUCCGGGAACCCGUCCUGGAACGGGGAGAAACAAAC
Molecule: long non-coding RNA, 3124 nt
Filed under: Cyanistes caeruleus (blue tit)
Lineage: Eukaryota; Metazoa; Chordata; Aves; Passeriformes; Paridae
Description: lncRNA (ENSCCEG00000005819.1)
Source: RNAcentral